UAGUCCUACUACAUGGUGCCCCAGGAAGGAGCAGUGGAGGUGAGCCCUCCAGGCCUGCCUAGAAAGGCCUCAUGGAAGCAGCCAAUCCGAGCCCAGCAGACUCAGAUAAAAGAAGCUGCAAGGGCUUAUCAGGGUAGUUCUUAGUUGGAAUCAGAGGGGGGUGAGGAAGGGUGCUUCUGUCUGACCAAAGGUGCUUGACUGGCGGGAUUUACUGGAUGUGGGAGAGAGAAUAACUGAAAACUUUCACCCUAAGGUUUGGGCUUCCUAACAGGAAUUCAAGAAACCUGUUUUUUUGGGGAAAAGAAUGUCAUCAGCAUAAAUAAAGGAAAACUUUAAAUAUCUCCAACAAUCCAUAAAGACAAAACAAUGGUGAGGUUGACAGUGUCUGCAGCCAAAACAUCAGUCAGCUGAAUGCUUAAAAGUGAAACUGACUGCAUCGAUUUUCAUUGUCCAUGGUGAGAGAAAUACACCCAGUAAGGCCCUGAUCUUCAUGGAAUCUGCUAGUGAGGACCCUACUGAGAUCACUAAUGCAGAGGAUUGUGCUAGCACAUCCCAGUACAGACCUGGGGCCAUAUAGCAUGAUCCUGUUGACUGCAGUGGUGCAGAUCAGGCCCAAAAUG
Long non-coding RNA from Chelonia mydas (Green sea turtle), 620 nucleotides. RefSeq lists it as uncharacterized. The transcript is spliced from 3 exons. Lineage: Eukaryota; Metazoa; Chordata; Testudines; Cheloniidae. The record is from RefSeq and is a predicted model, not a curated record.